UCGGAUGUGGUGUAUAAUGCACGCCUGCACUUAUUAUUGUUGAGAACUGUAAUUGUAGCAGGAGGCCUGAGUUCGACUCUCAGCAUCCGAA
Mycena haematopus is the source of this 91-nucleotide non-coding RNA. Lineage: Eukaryota; Fungi; Basidiomycota; Agaricomycetes; Agaricales; Mycenaceae. The record is from the annotation of a GenBank genome assembly.